Long non-coding RNA from Etheostoma spectabile (orangethroat darter), 183 nucleotides. RefSeq lists it as uncharacterized. The record is from RefSeq and is a predicted model, not a curated record. Lineage: Eukaryota; Metazoa; Chordata; Actinopteri; Perciformes; Percidae. The transcript is spliced from 3 exons.
UGUCAGAGUGUGCAUUUUAUCUUCUUUGUCGGGCGUCACAAAUAAGGCGACAUUUCUUGCAAUGGAAGAUGUGGCAAAAUAGUAGAGCAGGACUUUUUACAUGUUUAUACAUACAUGUAAAGUUACUCUUUCAUGGUUUUCUUGAACAGAGGCGUCAGAAUGUGCUACAUAAUCCAGAACCUC